UAUCUCUGUAGAGUCUGCAUAUCAAUAAGCGGAGGAAAAGAAACUAACUAGGAUUCCCUUAGUAACGGCGAGUGAAGCGGGAAGAGCUCAAAUUUGAAAUCUUCAAGGUUCUACCUUGACGAAUUGUAGUUUAAAGAAGUGUUUUCUGUUAGAUGAGUAGCAAAAGUUCCUUGGAAUGGGACAUCAUAGAGGGUGAGAAUCCCGUAUUUGGUUAUUCAUUCUAGCUUUGUGAUACACUUUCAAAGAGUCGGAUUGUUUGGGAAUGCAGUCCAAAAUGGGUGGUAAAUUUCAUCUAAAGCUAAAUAUUGGCGAGAGACCGAUAGCGAACAAGUACCGUGAGGGAAAGAUGAAAAGAACUUUGAAAAGAGAGUUAAACAGUACGUGAAAUUGUCAAAAGGGAAGCGUUUGACACCAGUGUUGUUUUUCCGAAAAUCAAUUACGAAUGGCUUGAUUUUGUGUUGUAUUGACCUUAUCAGCUUUCUUCACUUUUUUCGAGUCUUUCUUAAUGCACUUUUCGGUUAACAAGUCAACAUCAAUUUCUUUUGUUGUAAAAGAGUAUUCGGAAGGUGGCUUUCUUUUCGGAGAAAGUGUUUAUAGCCCUAUACUUCUACAAUCGGAGAGAUUGAGGUCUGCAGCGUAGAUCCUUCGGGGUUAGAUACACUUUGUGCUAAGUUGUAGCUUUUCAUAGACAACUUGUUGACUAUGUUUAGUCAUGCGGCUUACUCGCUUAUGCUAUUUUACCUACGCUUAGGAUGUUGAACUACUGAGACAUAGA
Molecule: ribosomal RNA, 775 nt
Filed under: uncultured Neocallimastigales
Lineage: Eukaryota; Fungi; Neocallimastigomycota; Neocallimastigomycetes; Neocallimastigales
Description: partial large subunit ribosomal RNA
Rfam family: Eukaryotic large subunit ribosomal RNA
Source: RNAcentral